RNAcentral lists this ribosomal RNA (479 nucleotides) under uncultured anaerobic ammonium-oxidizing bacterium. Its description in RNAcentral is "bacterial SSU rRNA". It matches the Rfam family "Bacterial small subunit ribosomal RNA", at positions 364 to 833 of the family's 1533-position model. The record is from RNAcentral.
UUUCGCAAUGCCCGAAAGGGUGACGAAGCGACGCCGCGUGCGGGAAGAAGGCCUUCGGGUUGUAAACCGCUGUCGGGAGUUAAGAAAUGUAAGGAUGUUAAUAGCAUCUUUGCUUGACUAAGGCUCCGGAGGAAGCCACGGCUAACUCUGUGCCAGCAGCCGCGGUAAUACAGAGGCGGCAAGCGUUGUUCGGAAUUAUUGGGCGUAAAGAGCACGUAGGCGGCUAUGUAAGUCGGUUGUGAAAGCCUUCCGCUCAACGGGAGAACAGCAUCCGAUACUGCGUGGCUUGAGUGCGGGAGGGGAGAGUGGAACUUCUGGUGGAGCGGUGAAAUGCGUAGAUAUCAGAAGGAACGCCGGCGGCGAAAGCGGCUCUCUGGCCUAUAACUGACGCUGAGUGUGCGAAAGCUAGGGGAGCAAACGGGAUUAGAUACCCCGGUAGUCCUAGCCGUAAACGAUGGGCACUAAGUAGAGGGGUUUUA